AGUCAAGUAAAUAAGUGCAUCAGGUGGAUGCCUUGGCGAUGAUAGGCGAUGAAGGACGUGUAAGCCUGCGAAAAGCGCGGAGAAGCUGGCAAUAAAGCAAUGAUACCGCGAUGUCCGAAUGGGGAAACCCACACACUUUAGUGUGUAUCACAGAGUGAAUACAUAGCUCUGCUGAAGCGAACCCGGAGAACUGAACCAUCUAAGUACCCGGAGGAAAAGAAAUCAACCGAGAUUCCGUAAGUAGUGGCGAGCGAACACGGAAAAGCCUGUGCGUAAUAAUGGCAGUGUUAGGAAAAGGACUUGGAAACGUCCGCCAUAGUGGGUGAUAGCCCCGUAUCCGAAAACACUAUCAUGGUACUAAGCGCACGAAAAGUAAGGCGGGACACGUGAAAUCCUGUCCGAAGACGGGGGGACCAUCCUCCAAGGCUAAAUACUCAUCAUCGACCGAUAGUGAACCAGUACCGUGAGGGAAAGGCGAAAAGAACCCCGGGAGGGGAGUGAAAUAGAACCUGAAACCUGAUGCAUACAAACAGUGGGAGCCCUGUAUAGGGUGACUGCGUACCUUUUGUAUAAUGGGUCAACGACUUACAUUCAGUAGCGAGCUUAACCGAGUAGGGGAGGCGCAGGGAAACCGAGUCUUAAUAGGGCGAACAGUUGCUGGGUGUAGACCCCGAAACCGAGUGAUCUAUCCAUGGCCAGGAUGAAGGUGCGGUAACACGCACUGGAGGUCCGAACCCACGCAUGUUGCAAAAUGCGGGGAUGAGCUGUGGAUAGGGGUGAAAGGCUAAACAAACUCGGAGAUAGCUGGUUCUCCCCGAAAACUAUUUAGGUAGUGCCUCAUGUAUCACUUCCGGGGGUAAAGCACUGUUAUGGCUAGGGGGUCAUUGCGACUUACCAACCCAUGGCAAACUAAGAAUACCGGAAAGUGCAAUCAUGGGAGACAGACAGCGGGUGCUAACGUCCGUUGUCAAGAGGGAAACAACCCAGACCGCCGGCUAAGGUCCCAAAUGACAGAUUAAGUGGUAAACGAAGUGGGAAGGCACAGACAGCCAGGAUGUUGGCUUAGAAGCAGCCAUCAUUUAAAGAAAGCGUAAUAGCUCACUGGUCGAGUCUUCCUGCGCGGAAGAUGUAACGGGGCUCAAAUCUGUAACCGAAGCCGCGGAUGCUAGUUUACUAGCAUGGUAGGGGAGCGUUCUGUAAGCCUGUGAAGGCAGCUUGUAAAGGCUGCUGGAGGUAUCAGAAGUGCGAAUGUUGACAUGAGUAGCGAUAAAGCGGGUGAAAAGCCCGCUCGCCGAAAGCCCAAGGUUUCCUACGCAACGUUCAUCGGCGUAGGGUGAGUCGGCCCCUAAGGCGAGGCAGAAAUGCGUAGCCGAUGGGAAACGGGUUAAUAUUCCCGUACUUUGAUUCAAUGCGAUGUGGGGACGGAGAAGGUUAUGCUGGCAGACUGUUGGAAUAGUCUGUUUAAGCUGGUAGGCAGAGGAAGUAGGCAAAUCCGCUUCCUUAAUGCCGAGACGUGAUGACGAGCAACCACGGUUGCGAAGCAGCAAAUACCACGCUUCCAGGAAAAGCCACUAAGCUUCAGUUGAAUCAGAACCGUACCGCAAACCGACACAGGUGGGCAGGAUGAGAAUUCUAAGGCGCUUGAGAGAACUCGGGAGAAGGAACUCGGCAAAUUGAUACCGUAACUUCGGGAGAAGGUAUGCCCUUUUAGGUGAAGGACUCGCUCCGUAAGCCAAAGAGGGCCGCAGAGAAUAGGUGGCUGCGACUGUUUAUUAAAAACACAGCACUCUGCUAACACGAAAGUGGACGUAUAGGGUGUGACGCCUGCCCGGUGCUGGAAGGUUAAUUGAAGAUGUGCAAGCAUCGGAUCGAAGCCCCAGUAAACGGCGGCCGUAACUAUAACGGUCCUAAGGUAGCGAAAUUCCUUGUCGGGUAAGUUCCGACCCGCACGAAUGGCGUAACGAUGGCCACACUGUCUCCUCCCGAGACUCAGCGAAGUUGAAAUGGUUGUGAAGAUGCAAUCUCCCCGCUGCUAGACGGAAAGACCCCGUGAACCUUUACUGCAGCUUUGCAUUGGACUUUGAAGUCACUUGUGUAGGAUAGGUGGGAGGCUAUGAAACAGAAACGCCAGUUUCUGCGGAGCCGCCCUUGAAAUACCACCCUGGUGGCUUUGAGGUUCUAACCCAGAUCCGUCAUCCGGAUCGGGGACCGUGCAUGGUAGGCAGUUUGACUGGGGCGGUCUCCUCCCAAAGUGUAACGGAGGAGUUCGAAGGUUACCUAGGUCCGGUCGGAAAUCGGACUCAUAGUGCAAUGGCAUAAGGUAGCUUAACUGCAAGACCCACAAGUCGAGCAGGUGCGAAAGCAGGACAUAGUGAUCCGGUGGUUCUGUAUGGAAGGGCCAUCGCUCAACGGAUAAAAGGUACUCCGGGGAUAACAGGCUGAUUCCGCCCAAGAGUUCAUAUCGACGGCGGAGUUUGGCACCUCGAUGUCGGCUCAUCACAUCCUGGGGCUGUAGUCGGUCCCAAGGGUAUGGCUGUUCGCCAUUUAAAGUGGUACGUGAGCUGGGUUUAAAACGUCGUGAGACAGUUUGGUCCCUAUCUGCAGUGGGCGUUGGAAGUUUGACGGGGGCUGCUCCUAGUACGAGAGGACCGGAGUGGACGAACCUCUGGUGUACCGGUUGUGACGCCAGUCGCAUCGCCGGGUAGCUAAGUUCGGAAGGGAUAAGCGCUGAAAGCAUCUAAGCGCGAAACCCGCCUGAAGAUGAGACUUCCCUUGUGGCUUGACCACAUUAAAGGGUCGUUCGAGACCAGAACGUCGAUAGGCAGGGUGUGGAAGCACAGCAAUGUGUGGAGCUAACCUGUACUAAUUGCCCGUAAGGCUUGACUCU
This 2887-nucleotide ribosomal RNA is filed under the name Conchiformibius steedae DSM 2580. RNAcentral's name for it is "23S ribosomal RNA". It matches the Rfam family "Bacterial large subunit ribosomal RNA". The record is from RNAcentral. Lineage: Bacteria; Pseudomonadati; Pseudomonadota; Betaproteobacteria; Neisseriales; Neisseriaceae.